Molecule: long non-coding RNA, 1080 nt
Filed under: Bemisia tabaci
Lineage: Eukaryota; Metazoa; Arthropoda; Insecta; Hemiptera; Aleyrodidae
Description: lncRNA ENSSWEETPG004247
Source: RNAcentral
GGAUUAGUUUCAUUAGAAUUUAGAUUCAUUAGAAUCUUAUUACUUAGAACUCUUCCUUCCAGCACCAAAUGGAAGAGGAAAAAUUCGUGACAAAAACAGGAAGAAAACAGAAGGAAAGAUAUUUGAUGAGAGCUGUUGCAUAUCAGUUUUGAACGUGAGGAACAAAUUCUCUUCAUCUGAAUGAGCAUCAAAGCGAGCUGGGAUUAGUUGAGUGUCAUCAUUUUAAGAGCAGUUCUCAUUUGUACCUAACUACUUGAAAUUCUUUACUUAGGUACGGAAAUUGGAGAGGCAAAUUUGUGCCACAGAAAGGAAGAUAACAUAAGGAAAAGUAUUUGAUAGUACUGUUGCAUAUCAGUUUAGAAUGUGAGGAACAAGUUCUCUUCAUCUGAAUGAACAUUAUAGCGAGCUGGAAUUAGUUGAGUGUCAUCAUUUUAAGAGCAGUUCGCAUUUGAAUCUAACUACUUGGAAUUCUUUACUCGGGUACAAAAUCGGAGAGGCAAAUUUGUGCCACAGAAAGAAGAUAACACAAAGAAGUAUUUGCUAGUACUGUUGCAUAUCAGUUUAGAAUGUGAGGAACAAGUUCUCUUCAUCUGAAAAAGCAUCAAAGCGAGCUGGGAUUACUUAGUUGAGUGUCAUCAUAUCAAGCAACAGUUAUUAGAUUGACUCUCCGGGAGCCUCACUCCACUUUCGUGAAGAUGAAAGGCAAGUGAAAAUGGGAAGAUAUGGAACAGAAAGUAUUUGAUGAGAGCUGUUGCAUAUCAGUUUAGAACGUGAGGACAAGUUCUCUCAUCUGAAUGAGCAUCAAAGCGAGCUGGGAUUAGUUGAGAGUCAUCAUUUUAAGAACAGUUCUCAUUUGAGUCUUACUACUUGGAAUUCUUUACUUGGCACACAAUCGGAGAGGCAAUUUGUGACAUAGAAAGGAAAAUAGCAUAAGGAAAAGUAUUUGAUGAGUACUGUUGCAUAUCAGUUUAGAACGUGAGGAACAAGUUCUCUUCAUCUGAUUGAGCAUCAAAGCGAGCUGGGAUUAGUUGAGUGUCAUCAUAUCAAGCACAGUACUUAUAAGGUUAACUCUCCUGGAGC